AUGAACGCUGGCGGCGUGCUUAACACAUGCAAGUCGAACGGAAAGGCCCAAGCUUGCUUGGGUACUCGAGUGGCGAACGGGUGAGUAACACGUGGGUGAUCUGCCCUGCACUUCGGGAUAAGCCUGGGAAACUGGGUCUAAUACCGGAUAGGACGAUGGUUUGGAUGCCAUUGUGGAAGGUUUUUUCGGUGUGGGAUGAGCUCGCGGCCUAUCAGCUUGUUGGUGGGGUAAUGGCCUACCAAGGCGUCGACGGGUAGCCGGCCUGAGAGGGUGUACGGCCACAUUGGGACUGAGAUACGGCCCAGACUCCUACGGGAGGCAGCAGUGGGGAAUAUUGCACAAUGGGCGCAAGCCUGAUGCAGCGACGCCGCGUGGGGGAUGACGGCCUUCGGGUUGUAAACUCCUUUCGCUAGGGACGAAGCGUUUUUGUGACGGUACCUGGAGAAGAAGCACCGGCUAACUACGUG
Molecule: ribosomal RNA, 467 nt
Filed under: uncultured bacterium
Lineage: Bacteria
Description: partial 16S ribosomal RNA
Rfam family: Bacterial small subunit ribosomal RNA
Source: RNAcentral